Molecule: non-coding RNA, 72 nt
Organism: Pangasianodon gigas (Mekong giant catfish)
Lineage: Eukaryota; Metazoa; Chordata; Actinopteri; Siluriformes; Pangasiidae
Source: the annotation of a GenBank genome assembly
UCCUUUCAUCCAGAGAUUGUGACAAUGCCACAACCAUCCAUGGCUGGGAGUCUGUGUUAGCGCUCGCACUUC